RNAcentral lists this long non-coding RNA (434 nucleotides) under Volvox carteri. RNAcentral's name for it is "long non-coding RNA (VCAR_LNC002578)". Lineage: Eukaryota; Viridiplantae; Chlorophyta; Chlorophyceae; Chlamydomonadales; Volvocaceae. The record is from RNAcentral.
UGGCACUAGGCAACAUCCAACACAUUUUUAAUGCAGACCCGAACACAUCACAAAAAUGUACAAUGGAAAGGCUUUAUGUUGAAUCUGUUUAGAUAUUAACCUCUGAGCAGCAGCAUUAGUGUUGGAACCCCAAUUCAGGUAAUCCACCUCCCUAUGUGCACCACAAGCGAGGAAGCGUAUGACAUGCAUGUUCAAGUACAAUAAUCCAAUGUGAGGAUGUAUGCUGUACAUGCAUACAUACAGACAAAUGCACCCAGCCAUGACCCACCCAGCCCUCACCUGCCAUCACCACUGCCACCCAGCCCAUUGCCUCCAUCUUCUCUUCCACCCAGCCCUCACCCACCAUCACCACUGCCACCAAGACCUAUCCCCUUGCUGUCUGCUGCCCCCUGUCCUACCCUGCACAGGUACCACUGCCGGUCCCCGGCCAUGGU